GCAGUCGUAGCAUAAUGGUAGUGUCCUACGUUGUCAACGUAGUGGGAGCGGGUUCGAACCCCGUCGACUGCG
This 72-nucleotide transfer RNA is filed under the name Sphingobacteriaceae bacterium. RNAcentral describes it as "tRNA-Asp". It matches the Rfam family "tRNA". Rfam says of the family: Transfer RNA (tRNA) molecules are approximately 80 nucleotides in length. Their secondary structure includes four short double-helical elements and three loops (D, anti-codon, and T loops). Lineage: Bacteria; Pseudomonadati; Bacteroidota; Sphingobacteriia; Sphingobacteriales; Sphingobacteriaceae. The record is from RNAcentral.